GGUAAAACCAGCACCUCAAGUGGUCAGGAUGAUUAUUGGGCCUAAAGCAUCCGUAGCCGGCUCUGUAAGUUUUCGGUUAAAUCUGUACGCUCAACGUACAGGCUGCCGGGAAUACUGCAGAGCUAGGGAGUGGGAGAGGUAGACGGUACUCGGUAGGAAGGGGUAAAAUCCUUUGAUCUAUUGAUGACCACCUGUGGCGAAGGCGGUCUACCAGAACACGUCCGACGGUGAGGGAUGAAAGCUGGGGGAGCAAACCGGAUUAGAUACCCGGGUAGUCCCAGCUGUAAACUAUGCAAACUCAGUGAUGCAUUGGCUUGUGGCCAAUGCAGUGCUGCAGGGAAGCCGUUAAGUUUGCCGCCUGGGAAGUACGUACGCAAGUAUGAAACUUAAAGGAAUUGGC
RNAcentral lists this ribosomal RNA (400 nucleotides) under uncultured crenarchaeote. Its description in RNAcentral is "bacterial SSU rRNA". It matches the Rfam family "Archaeal small subunit ribosomal RNA", at positions 469 to 869 of the family's 1478-position model. Lineage: Archaea; Thermoproteati; Thermoproteota. The record is from RNAcentral.